RNAcentral lists this transfer RNA (72 nucleotides) under Dichanthelium oligosanthes. It matches the Rfam family "tRNA". From Rfam's summary of the family: Transfer RNA (tRNA) molecules are approximately 80 nucleotides in length. Lineage: Eukaryota; Viridiplantae; Streptophyta; Magnoliopsida; Poales; Poaceae. The record is from Rfam by way of RNAcentral.
UCUUCUACAUUCUAAUGGAUAGGACAGAAGUCUUUUAAACCUUUGGUAUAGGUUCAAAUCCUAUUGGACGCA